GACGAACGCUGGCGGCGUGCUUAACACAUGCAAGUCGAGCGGUAAGGCCCUUCGGGGUACACGAGCGGCGAACGGGUGAGUAACACGUGGGUGACCUGCCCUUAGCUCUGGGAUAAGCCUGGGAAACUGGGUCUAAUACCGGAUAUGACCUCAUGACGCAUGUUGUGGGGUGGAAAGCCUUGUGCGGCUAGGGAUGGGCCCGCGGCCUAUCAGCUUGUUGGUGGGGUGANGGCCUACCAAGGCGACGACGGGUAGCCGGCCUGAGAGGGCGACCGGCCACACUGGGACUGAGACACGGCCCAGACUCCUACGGGAGCAGCAGUGGGGAAUCUUGCGCAA
Molecule: ribosomal RNA, 339 nt
Filed under: uncultured bacterium
Lineage: Bacteria
Description: bacterial SSU rRNA
Rfam family: Bacterial small subunit ribosomal RNA
Source: RNAcentral